This is a non-coding RNA of Canis lupus familiaris (dog), 91 nucleotides long. The record is from Rfam. Lineage: Eukaryota; Metazoa; Chordata; Mammalia; Carnivora; Canidae.
CGGGGGAGGCGGGAUCCUGGGCUGUGUCCCGGCUCCCUGUGCUCCGGAGCCUGCGCUGUUGGAUUCGCGCUCCCGGGCCGCGCAGCCCCCU